Molecule: ribosomal RNA, 329 nt
Filed under: uncultured Actinomycetes bacterium
Lineage: Bacteria; Bacillati; Actinomycetota; Actinomycetes
Description: bacterial SSU rRNA
Rfam family: Bacterial small subunit ribosomal RNA
Source: RNAcentral
GACGAACGCUGGCGGUGUGCUUAACACAUGCAAGUGGAGCGACGAACCAGGGCUUGCCCUGGGGCAGAGCCGCGAACGGGUGAGUAACACGUGGGUAACCUACCCGAUGACGUGGGACAACACGAGGAAACUCGGGCUAAUACCGGAUGUGUCCGACGUCCACGAGGACGUCGAGCAAAGGAAGCUUCGGCCUCCGCAUCGGGAGGGCCCGCGGCCCAUUAGCUUGUUGGUGGGGUAACGGCCUACCAAGGCUGCGAUGGGUAGCUGGUCUGAGAGGACGAUCAGCCACACUGGGACUGAGACACGGCCCAGACUCCUACGGGUGGCAG